Molecule: transfer RNA, 67 nt
Filed under: Nosodendron fasciculare
Lineage: Eukaryota; Metazoa; Arthropoda; Insecta; Coleoptera; Nosodendridae
Description: tRNA-Ser
Source: RNAcentral
GAAAUAUGUAUAUCAAGAAAAAGCUUCUAACUUUAUUCUUUAGCGAUGAAAUCUCGUUAAUAUUUCU